Molecule: regulatory RNA element, 40 nt
Organism: Neisseria gonorrhoeae FA 1090
Lineage: Bacteria; Pseudomonadati; Pseudomonadota; Betaproteobacteria; Neisseriales; Neisseriaceae
Rfam family: neiserria ribosomal frameshift element
Source: Rfam
GCCCUGAAGCGGAUGCCGCCCAAACGCCCGUUCAGACGGC